GGUCGUCUGCAGCACAUUUGAUCUGAUAUGUUGCCAAAAACCUGCAUACAUCCAUAUCAGCUCAUGUACAGGAGCUAAAACUUGCAGCUUUACACAUGAAUAAUUCACCUCCUUUGAGAAAGAGUUUACUUCACACCGUUAUUAAAUUAUAUAAAGCACUGAUGCAGAAUAGCUGUGAUUUGCACCCACUGAUCACAUAAUCCAUCUAUAACAGCAAUUCUUGGACAUCCAAAAAUACUCAUGCUUUCAGCUAUUUUAUAAAGCAAUCAAUAAUGGCUGAUUGCAUGCUUGUAGUCUACUGUUUAAGCCUGGAUCGUUAGAUCUUGUCCUUUAGCUAUUCAAGAGAUUGUUAAUUUCUUUCUCUCCUCCAUUAUAGACUUUGUGACCUUCAGUCUUUUUUGCCCUGCAGUGAAUCAUCUGCUUUUGACCAGAGUCAAAGUUCCUUUUUCCUCUUCACUGUCUGAGGGUGAUAAGCAGAAUUAAAGCAGUGGACAGGGUCAGGAUUUGAUAGCACUACAGCCCUGCAGGGAAAUAAUGUGCACACAUGGACAAACAUCGAGGUGGGAGACUAUGGUCGUAUCUCUUUCUAACUGUGGCAGCAACUCUUGAUGGCCUGGACACAACGAGAAAAGCCACACUAGUGCACUCGGCUCUGACUCUGUGUAUCCCAACAUGCCGAAGGUGCAAUCCCCAAUGAGUGACAUCAUUAAUUAUGUGCCUCUGACUUCAGAAAUGCCAGCUGAGGAGGGAGGCAUACAUUUCAUCCGCAGACUGUUCAAAAAAAUUGUCUUUCAAGCCGGGCUGACAGCAUGCAUUCCAAUCACGAGCUCACCCAGGUCUGAAAUUGCGGAUAGUUCACCAGCUGUGAGGCGCUGGGAUCUCACUGCACAGUGGAUGAUUGUGAUGGCACAUCCAGAACAUUCCAUCUGUGGUCGAGCUUUAUUUGAGAUAGACAGUCUCAUGUGGACACAAUCACACCUCUAACGGUUUGCCAGUAAGGUUAAGAGUGGAGCUUUUGGUUGCAAACAGGCUAAUGUAAGUGAAUAUUAUAUAAGAUUAUAUAACAUUUUUAUCUUCCUUGUGCUUCUACUUCACUUGAUUGCUUGCUGAAUGUUGUUUUUAGUAGUUUGACAUGUACUUUUAUUGCAUUUACAAUUCAGUUAUGUUUCAAUUACACAAGGAAUAUGAAAAGUUAAAUUUAAUGUUAAAGAAUUUUAACAUUAAAGAGUUAACCUAAAGAUUUGAUGUGAUAUAUUCCAGUUUAUCAACAAAGGAUCCUUCAUUUCUUCACACUGCAUGUUAUUUGGAAAUGUCAGUUUGUGAUGCUGGGGUUGACUUGAGUUCAUUUGUGAUUAAGGGCUGCUUGUUUAAAAGAAAUG
Long non-coding RNA from Cyprinus carpio (common carp), 1379 nucleotides. RefSeq lists it as uncharacterized. The record is from RefSeq and is a predicted model, not a curated record. NCBI's taxonomy places the organism in Eukaryota, Metazoa, Chordata, Actinopteri, Cypriniformes, Cyprinidae.